Long non-coding RNA from Cyprinus carpio (common carp), 387 nucleotides. RefSeq lists it as uncharacterized. Lineage: Eukaryota; Metazoa; Chordata; Actinopteri; Cypriniformes; Cyprinidae. The record is from RefSeq and is a predicted model, not a curated record. The transcript has 3 exons.
AGUGUAAGAUCAGACUUGCAUGUGCUCAGCUCUGUGUCUGUGAAGAGUGACCAUUCAAAAUAGUAGCCCACCGUUCUUCAGUGAGAAAAAAGCAUCAUCUAUCAAAAGGCUUCAAUAUGAGACAUUGGAUUCAGAUGUCCAGACUCACAGGAACCACAAGAAUUUCACAGACAAUCUCCUGUGGAUCUUCCAAGAUCUUGAGAGCAGAAUAAUGGCGUAUAUGAAGAAUGAACUGGCAAAGUUUAAAAAAAAUAUUACAAAAGGAGAGAACAUAAAAUAUUUUGUUGCAGGAUUCUGGAAUUUUAAUGAGAAUAGAUGCAGUAUUAAAGCAGCAGCUCUUGAUCUCACACACUAUACUUCCUGAGAGAUAUGAAGCAAGAUGAAGCU